AGCUCGGUGGCGGAAUUGGUCAGACGCGCUUUGUGUGCCCCGGAAGGGGUAUUGCCGGUUCGAGUCCGGCCCGGGCUG
Molecule: transfer RNA, 78 nt
Filed under: Barnesiella sp.
Lineage: Bacteria; Pseudomonadati; Bacteroidota; Bacteroidia; Bacteroidales; Barnesiellaceae
Description: tRNA-OTHER
Rfam family: tRNA
About the family: Transfer RNA (tRNA) molecules are approximately 80 nucleotides in length. Their secondary structure includes four short double-helical elements and three loops (D, anti-codon, and T loops).
Source: RNAcentral